UGGCGGCGUGCUUACACAUGCAAGUUGCACGAGAACUCUUCUGUUUGCAGAAGAUAGUAAAGUGGCGCACGGGUGAGUAACGCGUGGGUAAUCUACCUCUGAAUUGGGGAUAACAUUGUGAAAGCGAUGCUAAUACCGAAUAAUAUCCCGAGAACUUAGGCUUUUGGGAUCAAAGGUGGCCUCUACAUGUAAGCUACUGUUUAGAGAUGAGCCCGCGUACCAUUAGCUUGUUGGUAGGGUAAUGGCCUACCAAGGCAACGAUGGUUAGCUGGUCUGAGAGGAUGAUCAGCCACACUGGAACUGACACACGGUCCAGACUCCUACGGGAGGCAGCAGUGAGGAAUUUUGUGUAAUGGGGGAAACCUUGACGCAGCAAUGCCGCGUGAGUGAUGAAGGCUUUCGAGUCGUAAAGCUCUGUCAAGUGAGAAGAACCUAUCCCGCGUUAAUAUCGCGGGGUACUGACGGUAUCAUUGAAGGAAGCACCGGCUAACUCCGUGCCAGCAGCCGCGGUAAUACG
This 517-nucleotide ribosomal RNA is filed under the name uncultured delta proteobacterium. RNAcentral's name for it is "bacterial SSU rRNA". It matches the Rfam family "Bacterial small subunit ribosomal RNA", at positions 37 to 527 of the family's 1533-position model. The record is from RNAcentral. Lineage: Bacteria; Deltaproteobacteria.